This 798-nucleotide ribosomal RNA is filed under the name uncultured Bacillota bacterium. RNAcentral describes it as "bacterial SSU rRNA". It matches the Rfam family "Bacterial small subunit ribosomal RNA", at positions 547 to 1345 of the family's 1533-position model. Lineage: Bacteria; Bacillati; Bacillota. The record is from RNAcentral.
GGAUUUAUUGGGUGUAAAGGGUGCGCAGGCGGAAAAAUAAGUCUAAUGUGAAAGCCCUCGGCUUAACCGAGGAACUGCAUCGGAAACUGUUUUUCUUGAGUGCAGAAGAGGAGAGUGGAACUCCAUGUGUAGCGGUGGAAUGCGUAGAUAUAUGGAAGAACACCAGUGGCGAAGGCGGCUCUCUGGUCUGCAACUGACGCUGAGGCUCGAAAGCAUGGGUAGCGAACAGGAUUAGAUACCCUGGUAGUCCAUGCCGUAAACGAUGAGUGCUAAGUGUUGGGAGGUUUCCGCCUCUCAGUGCUGCAGCUAACGCAUUAAGCACUCCGCCUGGGGAGUACGACCGCAAGGUUGAAACUCAAAGGAAUUGACGGGGGCCCGCACAAGCGGUGGAGCAUGUGGUUUAAUUCGAUGCAACGCGAAGAACCUUACCAGGUCUUGACAUCUAGUGCAAUCUGUAGAGAUACGGAGUUCCCUUCGGGGACGCUAAGACAGGUGGUGCAUGGCUGUCGUCAGCUCGUGUCGUGAGAUGUUGGGUUAAGUCCCGCAACGAGCGCAACCCUUGUUAUUAGUUGCCAGCAUUAAGUUGGGCACUCUAAUGAGACUGCCGGUGACAAACCGGAGGAAGGUGGGGAUGACGUCAAGUCAUCAUGCCCCUUAUGACCUGGGCUACACACGUGCUACAAUGGGCAGUACAACGAGAAGCAAGCCUGCGAAGGCAAGCGAAUCUCUGAAAGCUGUUCUCAGUUCGGACUGCAGUCUGCAACUCGACUGCACGAAGCUGGAAUCGCUAGUAAUCGC